RNAcentral lists this ribosomal RNA (484 nucleotides) under uncultured bacterium. RNAcentral describes it as "partial 16S ribosomal RNA". It matches the Rfam family "Bacterial small subunit ribosomal RNA", at positions 30 to 507 of the family's 1533-position model. The record is from RNAcentral.
AUUGAACGCUGGCGGCAGGCCUAACACAUGCAAGUCGAGCGGAUGAACGGAGCGCUCGCCUGGAUUCAGCGGCGGGCGGGCGAGUAAUGCCCAGGUAUCUGCCUGGUAUUUGGGGAUAAGGUCCGUAAACGGGCGCGAAGAUCGCAUACGACCAUAUGUAGAAAGUGGGGGAUCUUUAGACCUCACGCUAUUUGAUGAGCCUAGGUCGGAUUAGCGAGUCGGUGUGGUAACUGCCUACCAAGGCGACGAUCCGUAACAGACCUGAGAGGAUGAUCUGCCACACUGGAACUGAGACACGGUCCAGACUCCUACGGGAGGCAGCAGUGGGGAAUAUUGGGCAAUGGGCGAAAGCCUGAUGCAGCCAUGCCGCGUGUGUGAAGAAGGUCUUCGGAUUGUAAAGCUCUUUAAGUUGGGAGGAAGAACAGUAUGUUAAUCCAUUCCUGUUUUGACGUUACCAACAGAAUAAGCCCCGGCUAACUUCGUG